This is a long non-coding RNA of Pantherophis guttatus, 775 nucleotides long. RefSeq lists it as uncharacterized. NCBI's taxonomy places the organism in Eukaryota, Metazoa, Chordata, Lepidosauria, Squamata, Colubridae. The record is from RefSeq and is a predicted model, not a curated record.
GUUGCUGCCUUCUUUCUCCGACAGAGGGCGCGAGAGCCCUUGGAAUCGCUUCUUCGCCCUAGACUCCGGUGCCGCCGCCUGCGUGUUACCCGCAACGUCGGAAUGGUGCCCCCAGCCGCCGUUUGAAGGAGAACUCUGCGUGUAUGUAUGUGGGAAACAUAUAAAAAAGCUGAAAAUCAAAUGCUGAUCACGAGUGAUUGGCUUGAGCCGAUUGGACCCAAGUUGCAUCUUAGCUGAUGACAGCCCCUUGCUGGCUGUGGCUAGGCUCAGAAAGUCAGCAGGAUUGGGCCCAGUUUGAUGGAAGAAGCUUUGAUGGCACAACCUUGAGGCUGCAAGCUAGAUGGGGAUACUGAAAACACAUCUUGGAAGAAAGCAUUUUGAUGCCAAGAAGUCAGCAAGAGUGGAUUUUCCAAACUUGAACCAUGAGCAGGACGGCAAGUUCCAGCCAACAAUAUUCCUUACCUUUCAAGAAAACAAAUUCAAGUUUAACUGAGUUUUUUAGUUACCCUGGAAAAACUUCUCAGGAAGAGUUGUCUGAUGGUAUCUUUUCUUAAGAAUGGACGUGUGGGAAGCCCAGAAGCUAGAGACCUCUGGGAAAGAAGAUAAAAGAUCAUUUCCUGAAUAAUUUUGAAAUUCAGAGCAAACAUCCCCAUCAGUGUCAGCUGAUUAUCUGGAUGGAAACAGAAGUAAAAUGCAAGACAAAUAUGGAUAGAUCUUGUUAUGGCUAGGGAAAAAAAUAAUCCUGCGAUUCAUAAAUAAAAUGUUUUUGUUUCUA